Molecule: ribosomal RNA, 1018 nt
Filed under: Sphingobacterium sp.
Lineage: Bacteria; Pseudomonadati; Bacteroidota; Sphingobacteriia; Sphingobacteriales; Sphingobacteriaceae
Description: bacterial SSU rRNA
Rfam family: Bacterial small subunit ribosomal RNA
Source: RNAcentral
AGAGCAUUCGGCUGCCUAAUACAUGCAAGUCGAACGGGAUCCCGCUGUAUCUUGCUACAGCCGGUGAGAGUGGCGCACGGGUGCGUAACGCGUGAGCAACCUGCCCGUCCCAGGGGUAUAGCCCGUUGAAGGACGGAUUAACACCGCCUAACGUAGGGAGCGGGGGGAUCGCUGUACCUCUAUUCUAGGGGACGGAUGGGCUCACUUGACAUUAGCUGGUUGGUAGGGUAACGGCCUACCAAAGCCACAAUGUCUAUGGGCUCUGAAAGGACAAUCCCCCACACUGGUACUGACACACACACCAAACUCCUACGGGAGGGAGGAAUUUUGAAUAUUGGUCAAUGGGGGGAACCCUGAACCCCCCAUGCCGCAUGCAGGACUAAGGCCCUAUGGGUCCUAUACUGCUUUUCUAAAGGAACAACCGCAAUUACGUGUGUCUGUCUGAGUGUACCGUAAGAAUAAAGAUCGGCUAACUCCGUGCCAACACCCGCGGUAAUAUAGAGGAUCCGAGCGUUAUCCGGAUUUAGUGGGUUUAACGGGCGCGUACGCGUCACAUUAAAUCAUGAGUGAACUACGACAUUUCAUUUGUAACUGUGUUUUUGAUACUGAUGUGCUUGAAUAUGGUCGGGGAUGGCAGAAUGGGACAAGUACUGAGAAAUGCAUAGAUAUGUCCCAAAACCCCGAUAGCGAACGCAGCUGUCUAAGCCAACAUUGACUCUGAUGCACGAACGCGUGGAGAUCACAAGAUUAUUAUACCCUGCUCGUCCUCCGCCGCCCCAAAUGUGAUGACCCGAUGGUGGCCGAUCUACCCUUACCGUCCAGCUAACGCGUUAAGUCAUCCGCCUGGGGGAGUACGGUCGCCAGGGUUGAACCUCAAAGGAAUUGACGGGGACCCGCACAAGCGUAGGAGCAUGUGGAUUAAUUUCGAUGAACGCGAAGAACCUUACCCCGCCUUGAAACUCACAGAUCCUCCACAGAGCGGGAGCGGCCUUCAGAAUAGAAACUACGUGCUUCCUUG